RNAcentral lists this ribosomal RNA (457 nucleotides) under Artemia salina. RNAcentral's name for it is "partial 16S ribosomal RNA". It matches the Rfam family "Archaeal large subunit ribosomal RNA", at positions 2005 to 2675 of the family's 2987-position model. The record is from RNAcentral. Lineage: Eukaryota; Metazoa; Arthropoda; Branchiopoda; Anostraca; Artemiidae.
GGGCCGUGGUAUACUGACCAUGCGAAGGUAGCAUAAUCAUUAGCCCCUCGAUUGGGGGCUGGAAUGAAGGGUCUGACGAGAGGCGGCCUGUCUCCCCCAUUAAACCGAAGUUAAUUUUUAAGUGAAAAAGCUUAAAUGCUCUUGGAGGGCGAUAAGACCCUAUAGAUCUUUACAUUCUACCCUUCCGUUUAUCGGCAAGUAACUAAACUGAAGGAGGCAAUGUUAGGUUGGGGCGACCGCGGGAGAAGAACAAACACCAGCGACCCAUUAACAUUCAUAAAUGAUCGUUGAUCCUUAGAUGAACAUAGAGCAAGUUACCUUAGGGAUAACAGCGUAAUUCUUUUUGAGAGUCCCAAUCGACAAAAGAGUUUGCGACCUCGAUGUUGGUUCAGGGACCCUCCUCGGUGCAGCAGCCUAGCAAGGUAGUCUGUUCGACUAUUAAACCCCUACGUGAUCU